AAGAUAUGUCCACCUCCUCCAUAUCUUCAACAUGGAGACUACAGCAUCAACAGUACAAAAGAUGAAGUGAUCACAGCAGUAUCUUACACUUGCCAGUCUUACUAUGUGCUUACCAAGCAACAGGACGUUUAUAAGUGUGUGGAUGGGAAUUGGGAGACUCCUCCGAAAUGCCUGAGACCUUGUGAAAUUGAUGACAUUGUCGAGAAGUACAAUCUACAGCUUCCUAAAGAAAAGGUCUACAUAAGGCAUGCAGAAAAGUAUAGACUGAACUGUAGAGAUGGGUGGAAUACUGGAAGUGAGAUGAAAACAUAUGUGGACGUGUCGUGCUCCAAUGGGAAUCUACAGAUUGACAAAAGUUGUAACUAGGUAUAAACUGGAGUGGUGACCGAGGUACCCCAUUCAGUAAAAAUAAAUUUAUUUUUAUACAAAAAAGGACAUCCCUAAAAGGAGGUCUCAAGAGAUUUUGUCAGGUUUAGCUCACUUCCGGUACAAAUUUGCCCCAUAAUACAGUUAAGUAUAUACUGUACACACACAAAUAAGUACAUGUAUCCCCUUCAGCUACAAAUGUAACAUAUAAAUAUUAUCUUGCAGAAAAUGUAUUUCUUUGUAUUUCUUGUCUGUGUCAACAUUCCUUCAACAAACUUUUUUUUUUUUUAAUUAAAAAAAAUAUUAUAAUAAUAAUUAGGCUGACUUUGGUGUGGAUUUUUAGUUCAACAUAUUGCUCACAUUGUGUUUUAUUAAAGCAAAACAUAUUUUGCUCACAAUUUUGAACCAAAGUGACACACUCAUGACUGUCUUCUGUGGAAUACCAACUACCUUGCAACCUUUAUAGUGUCACUGAUAGAAAACAGGUGUGGUGUGAUAAUGAGUUCUUAGGCAGGGGUUAUGGUAAACUGGUGUCCGGAGAAAACA
Cyprinus carpio (common carp) is the source of this 912-nucleotide long non-coding RNA. RefSeq lists it as uncharacterized. The transcript has 3 exons. Lineage: Eukaryota; Metazoa; Chordata; Actinopteri; Cypriniformes; Cyprinidae. The record is from RefSeq and is a predicted model, not a curated record.